AUUAUGCUCAAUCGAAAGAGCUUGAAAAAAUAUCACUUUUGAAUCGAGAACAUGUAUCCGCAAAAUUCGUAUUGUCGAGUAUUUUGCAUUUAAAAGUGAAAAAAUUUCGACAAAGAAUGCAAAUGUUCAAUUUGUUGUUUGACAUUUGACAGCUCUAUGGUUUCGUUCAGAAAUUGUAAAUAUUUUUACGUCCGUCAUGCAUGUUGGACAGAUUGCUGGUGAGAGUGUGGGUAAGCCUAUUUAAAAAAAACGACUACUGUCAGUGUAAGAUGACACUGGUGACAGAUGACACACAAACAUGUUACAUGUAUUGUGCAUUGAUUGACGGGUAAAACCAUGGUAAAACCAAAACUUUGUGCUUUACCAGUCUGAAAUUAAGUUUAAUUUUCAGUAAAGGGUCUAAAUGUUUGUGACUAACCUAAGCCCUCCUACGUGUACACGCUCGACGCAGCUAGCCAACUUUAUUGUCACGCGUGCAAUAGAGUACCUAUUAAAGGCCAAGUUCGGCCUGGCCAGCCAGGGUUCACGCUAGACAACGUCAACGAUUUAUUUGGGGUCGCCGUCAUCGAAAACGAUGAGGAGGAGGAGGACUAUACUUACUAACGAUGACACGGCACCGCCGCGUAAAACAAACCUAUGCCGAAAAUCAUAGUUUCAAGUAUUUUGAAUGCUGUAGCCAGAAGACUGCCAGACAAAUGUGGAUUAAUAAGGUUGUGGAGAUAAAAAAAAAUACAUCCACACUACAGCAUCCGAAAUCUCAAAAUCAUUUGCUUCUAUAUCGAAGAGCUCUCUGGAUUUUUUUGAUGACUUUCCGGUCACUUAUCUUGACAUAAAUGCUGAAGGAAUUUAUUAUGUCACUUUAAAAGGAGACAAAGAGCAGGACGGUAUUAUAAAACAAAGUUAAACAUCACGGCCCGAAGACCACCCAAAUGAUGAAAAUGUAUUAACUAGGUUCAGUUCUUUUCAAAUUUGUAUUAAGGGGAGAAAAUCCAAAAUUAAAAUUCAGAUAAAAACUUUAAUGUUUUAAGAAAUUGUAAGUCAUUUCAAGUUUUAGACAUUUUGAAACAAAAAAAUGUUUUGAGAAGAAUGUGUUUGACAGAUGGUAAAGCUGCGGUUUCUGCUGGGAUGUGGGGAUGCAUAGCGAGGAAUGUGUUUGUAAGAACCAAUACAAAUUGUCCUCCAGGACU
This is a long non-coding RNA of Cydia fagiglandana, 1187 nucleotides long. RefSeq lists it as uncharacterized. The record is from RefSeq and is a predicted model, not a curated record. Lineage: Eukaryota; Metazoa; Arthropoda; Insecta; Lepidoptera; Tortricidae. The transcript has 3 exons.